CUCGCCCCCAGAGAACACGCACCCUCCCCCAACCCAGGAGCCGCCUGGUUCCUCCUCCGCAGAACCCCGCCUCCACUCACUCCUCCUCCGCCUCCAGCGCCACCUCGUAUCUCCUCAAUCCCGACAUGUCCUGGGCUCCGAACGUCUCCUGCGGAGCAGCAUGAUUGAAUCAAGGGUUCCCCAACCCCAGGUCCCCUUCUCCGUCAUUCUCAGGACGAGUCUGACUAGCUCUCAGGACAAAGUCCCUUUGCAGCAGAAAGCACCAAAAAUGUUCCCAGGAAUUGGGUAUUAGUUUGCUAAGAGGCAGAGUUCUCAGAGUCCUCAGAGUCACUGGCAUCACUCAGAGCUGGAGGGCACUAUUUUCUUCCUCUGGGAAACCCAGGCUAGAUGAGACUGAGCCUAUAGAGAGAAGAGCAGCCAGAGGCUCCAGGACCCAUCCAGGCACUGAUACGUAAAGGAACACCUGGGGCACAGGCAUAUGUGCAUCACACAGGUGCACCCACAGGACACAGGCAUACCCGCACCACUCAGGCACACACAGAUGGCAUAGGAAUACACACAAUGCACAUGUAUACCCAUGUCAUACAAGGACAUACAGUCACCACAAGGGCACACCCAUUUGGCACAUGUACAGUCUCAGGUUCAUACUCAGACCUGGAUGUUGACAUGAACUCACAGUCUCCUUCACAGACUCCCCAGACCUGUGCACCGAUCCCUGCUAUGCCCCUCACCUUACUGUUUAGCCCCUGCCCCAUUUUACCUCCUCUUGGCAAGAAGAUCAAUGUGCUGGAAGAUGAGUGGUGCCAUGCUGGAGGCCAUGGAGGAUGAACAGAGAUGGAGACAUGGACAGAGUCCCGGGAGCAGGAGUCCUGUGUGAGACUGUGUGAGUACAGCAAGCAGGAGGAUGAUCGUGAGGGUGAGGGAGUCCUUGGAAGCCUGUGAGGGUCCUGUGAGUGCGUGUGGGAGCUUGUGGGAGGCUGUGGCUGUCUCCUGUUUAUGGUCCACUAAAGCUUUCAUUUUCAACAGUCAGAAAUAUCCUCCCUUCUGGUGUAUAAUAAAGAAUUUGACUGGCCUUUGU
Lemur catta (Ring-tailed lemur) is the source of this 1078-nucleotide long non-coding RNA. RefSeq lists it as uncharacterized. The transcript has 3 exons. The record is from RefSeq and is a predicted model, not a curated record. Lineage: Eukaryota; Metazoa; Chordata; Mammalia; Primates; Lemuridae.